CGUGUGCCAAGCACGGAAUGCCCCCUACUACUCUACCCCCACUUUCUCUCUCCCGGCCCGCGGCAUGUGCGCUUCGCUUGUGUGAGUGUGACGUCAGUGAGUGCGUCACACAAUGCCGGGAUUUCCUUUCCUACCGGUGCGUAGUAGUGACGUAGUGACCUUGUUGUUAUUCGCGGUCAGUCACACGACGACACUCGAGCCGGCGAGUUGAGAUAUAAGACGCUUCAUAUGUAAUGUAUAUUAUUUGUUAAAAUAUAAUUGCGAGACUAUCGAGAAACGUUGCAAUACGAUAAAAUGCGCGUAGCGAUUGACUUGAAGUGCGUGUAUCGCGUGAAGUGUGAAGUGUCGGUAAUUGUAUCAUAUUUAAAUGGUUAGCUUAGGUAAAGUUAAUUGCGUGCAGUUGUAUUAAUUACGUUUUCGCGAGUAAUUAAUUAUGUUUUCGCGAGUGAGUGCCACGAAAAAGCAGCAGAAGGAAACAGGAGAAGCGGACUUCGGAGGGCAUCGGACGAUGGUGAAGUAAUUGUGAAAUAUAAGAUAUGCUAUGCGUCAGGGCACCGGAAACGGAGGUCCGCGCAGAAGAUGACGGGGUUAAGUAGAUAAGGGAAACGGAGCCUGGUUGCCAUCGACGGCGGACGAUUUCCUCGGCUCCUCUCUUUCUCAUCGCCGCGCACAAUGCUCUACCAUCGCGCCCUUGUCGUUCUCUUCGCUGUCAACGUGCCAAUCGUGACGGGAUUAGAGCCAGACUUCGCUUACCCGCUGGAGAACGUAACGAUCCCGCAGGGUCGAGACGCUACUUUCACCUGCGUGGUGAAGAACCUCGGUGGAUACCGGGUGAGUCCUUCCUCCUCCGUGAGCGGAGAUCACUCUGGCAGCGCCAAGGCCCGGGUGGCAUGGAUCAAAGCGGACACCAAGGCGAUCCUAGCGAUUCAUGAGCACGUGAUCACAAACAACGCCCGUCUGUCGGUGACUCACAGCGAUUACAACACGUGGACGUUAAACAUUCGCGCAGCACGUCGAGAAGAUCGCGGGAUUUAUAUGUGCCAGGUCAACACGGAUCCCAUGAAGAGCCAGAGCGCGUUUUUGGAAGUGGUAAUACCACCAGACAUAAUCUCGGAAGAGACUUCGAAUGACAUGAUGGUACCCGAGGGAGGUUCCGCCAAGCUGGUGUGCAAAGCGCGUGGUUAUCCCAAACCUGAUAUCGUGUGGAAACGAGAAGACGGCACCGAAAUCAUUUCGCGGGCUAGCCUUACUGGCGGCAAGACAAAAAUACCUACUGCAGGAGGCGAAACGCUGACUUUGUCGAAAGUAACGAGGGGCGAGAUGGGCGCCUACCUGUGCAUCGCCAGCAACGGAGUACCCCCGUCAGUCAGCAAACGAAUGAUGCUGCACGUGCAUUUUCACCCGAUGGUCCAGGUACCGAACCAGCUGGUCGGGGCUCCUAUCGGAACUAACGUCACGUUGGUCUGUCACGUGGAAGCGUCACCUAAGGCCAUUAAUUACUGGACUCGAGAAUCAGACGAAAUGAUAAUCAGCAACAGUAAGUACGCGAUGUCCGAGAUAAAAACAUCCGUAUACAGCGUGCAAAUGCGACUAGUGAUCAUGAAUCUGCAGAAGCACGAUCUGGGUGGCUACAAGUGCAUCUCGAAAAACUCCAUCGGUGAUGCCGAGGGAAACAUCCGACUUUAUGACAUGGAGUUGCCUAAACAUUCCAAAAAAACGGGUGACCGGCGAUCGGAGGAUGAUGCGGGCGAUUUGAUCGUCGAUCGCGAUCACAGACUGAAUCACGUGCAUCAGGGCCCAUUGAGGGAAACGGGAUCUACGCUAGAACCGGCUUUCGACGAGGACGACAAUUCGACAUCCACCACGUCGAAACAGAACGCAUCGCUCGUGAUCAUCGCCAUCAUCCUAGUCGCGCUGCAUCAUCUGCUCGCUUCGACGCUGAGCAAGAGGCCGUGUCUAUCGAUAUCAUUGUAAAUGGAUAUCCAUAGAGACGAUCGCAUCAAAGAUGACCCGGACACGAAGUAAUUUUCCGGAAUUCAAGCUGAUGUGCAGGCUCAGAGAACAAGGAUGAUCCCUUUAAAGACCGAAGACUUCCGGUUUAGGUCACAGGGUCAUAAAUAAUCGUAAUUCCAUGCGAGCCCAGCUGCGGUUUUAUCGGAGCGAGAGUGCACGGCGUUCUGCCAAGCAAAGUCCAUCGAAGCUUAAGUGCCCACCACCAGGUAAACGAUCUCAGAGUAACGUGAAGCUUGGGCGUAACAUUGCGACCGCCUGAGAUGCACGCUUUUUCAUCGCAACAAAUAAUUACAUUA
This is an RNA transcript of Camponotus floridanus (Florida carpenter ant), 2309 nucleotides long. It is a transcript of the gene named lachesin, with no coding region annotated. The transcript is spliced from 11 exons. NCBI's taxonomy places the organism in Eukaryota, Metazoa, Arthropoda, Insecta, Hymenoptera, Formicidae. The record is from RefSeq and is a predicted model, not a curated record.